Molecule: ribosomal RNA, 888 nt
Filed under: uncultured Gaetbulibacter sp.
Lineage: Bacteria; Pseudomonadati; Bacteroidota; Flavobacteriia; Flavobacteriales; Flavobacteriaceae
Description: bacterial SSU rRNA
Rfam family: Bacterial small subunit ribosomal RNA
Source: RNAcentral
ACAUGCAGUCGAGGGGUAACAUUGGUGCUUGCACCAGAUGACGACCGGCGCACGGGUGCGUAACGCGUAUACAAUCUGCCUUGUACUGGGGGAUAGCCUUUAGAAAUGAAGAUUAAGACCCCAUAGUAUUAUAGAUUCGCAUGAUGAAAUAAUUAAAGGUUACGGUACAAGAUGAGUAUGCGUCCUAUUAGCUAGAUGGAGUGGUAACGGCACCCCAUGGCGACGAUAGGUAGGGGCCCUGAGAGGGGGAUCCCCCACACUGGUACUGAGACACGGACCAGACUCCUACGGGAGGCAGCAGUGAGGAAUAUUGGACAAUGGGGGCAACCCUGAUCCAGCCAUGCCGCGUGCAGGAAGACUGCCCUAUGGGUUGUAAACUGCUUUUAUACGGGAAGAAACACCGCUACGUGUAGCGGCUUGACGGUACCGUAAGAAUAAGGAUCGGCUAACUCCGUGCCAGCAGCCGCGGUAAUACGGAGGAUCCAAGCGUUAUCCGGAAUCAUUGGGUUUAAAGGGUCCGUAGGUGGGCUGGUCAGUCAGAGGUGAAAUCCCACGGCUCAACCGUGGAACUGCCUUUGAUACUGCUAGUCUUGAGUUAUUAUGAAGUAGUUAGAAUAUGUAGUGUAGCGGUGAAAUGCAUAGAUAUUACAUAGAAUACCAAUUGCGAAGGCAGAUUACUAAUAAUAUACUGACACUGAUGGACGAAAGCGUAGGUAGCGAACGGGAUUAGAUACCCCGGUAGUCUACGCCGUAAACGAUGGAUACUAGCUGUCCGGCUUCGGCUGGGUGGCUAAGCGAAAGUGAUAAGUAUCCCACCUGGGGAGUACGUUCGCAAGAAUGAAACUCAAAGGAAUUGACGGGGGCCCGCACAAGCGGUGGAGCAUGUGG